This 468-nucleotide ribosomal RNA is filed under the name uncultured bacterium. RNAcentral's name for it is "partial 16S ribosomal RNA". It matches the Rfam family "Bacterial small subunit ribosomal RNA", at positions 28 to 507 of the family's 1533-position model. The record is from RNAcentral.
GACGAACGCUGGCGGCGUGCUUAACACAUGCAAGUCGAACGGAAAGGCCCUGCUUUUGUGGGGUGCUCGAGUGGCGAACGGGUGAGUAACACGUGAGUAACCUGCCCUUGACUUUGGGAUAACUUCAGGAAACUGGGGCUAAUACCGGAUAGGAGCUCCUGCUGCAUGGUGGGGGUUGGAAAGUUUCGGCGGUUGGGGAUGGACUCGCGGCUUAUCAGCUUGUUGGUGGGGUAGUGGCUUACCAAGGCUUUGACGGGUAGCCGGCCUGAGAGGGUGACCGGCCACAUUGGGACUGAGAUACGACACAGACUCCUACGGGAGGCAGCGGUGGGGAAUAUUGCACAAUGGGCGGAAGCCUGAUGCAGCAACGCCGCGUGCGGGAUGACGGCCUUCGGGUUGUAAACCGCUUUCGCCUGUGACGAAGCGUGAGUGACGGUAAUGGGUAAAGAAGCACCGGCGAACUACGUG